This is a long non-coding RNA of Numida meleagris (helmeted guineafowl), 2716 nucleotides long. RefSeq lists it as uncharacterized. The transcript has 2 exons. The record is from RefSeq and is a predicted model, not a curated record. NCBI's taxonomy places the organism in Eukaryota, Metazoa, Chordata, Aves, Galliformes, Numididae.
GGCACGCUGCCACGCUGUGUACUAACUUGGGUCCCAGAGGCUGCAUAAAUGAGUUAGCUGCAUUCAGUUGGCACAGCUCUGUGCUGACCUGGCUGUCCUGAUCCCAGAACUGGAAUUUCCACAUUUGGAGGUUAUGAGCCUUUCAUAAUCUCAUCACUCUAAACUAACUGGAAUUAUUUUUUCUUACAACGUAAGUGAUAUUGUAAAGAGUGAAUUGUUGGAAUGCUCUGUGAAGCAUCUUAUCAGACUGUUCUGACAUCUCACUGCUCCUGGUUUAAAUGAUUUACUUGGUUUUCCAAUUAUUUUUACAUCUUAUUGGAUGGCAAAGGACUGUAUGAGAACUGUGAAAAAAUGUAUAAAAUAAAGCUAAUUUUAUCCAUGGUCAUGAUAUUACAGACCUUGGUGGGCUUGAACAAUUUGGUACAGAAAGUGGCCUUUUUCAUUGUCAGAUAGAUAAUCAUGUAGGAUAAGAAGAUCUCAGGCCCUGUGUUCUCAUUACUAAUGAUCAGUGUGUGUGAAGAUGCCACCUGAAAACUAUUGAGAGCCUUCUUUGUACCCUCCAGUUCUGCUGCUUCUUUAAGAGCCAUCUGCAAAAAAAAGAAGAACCCAACAUAACCAUGUUAGCAAAAAAUCUUGAAAAUGAUAUGAGAAAAUUCCAGACUGUAUUUCUUUGGUCAUAAUCUGUGAUCCUCAACACAGAAAACAAGAAGCCUAAACAAAAAAAUGUAAGAACACAAGGUGAAGGCAUGGCAAUAAGAGGAAUAUUACAUAAGAUUUGACUGGGACAAAAAAGAAACAUUUUGGAGCACAAACUUACAAAGAAAAUUUCUUCACAUCCUCCCAAGAAAACCCAACACAAUUAAUGGUGCACAGCACAACUGCCUUUUACUGCAGGAUAGGAAUAAGUAAUUCAAAUGAAUGAGAGAAAUUUGUAUCCUAGAAGGGAAGGAUAUUUAUAUCCUCCCUGCAAUCUCAUGCUGUAAAUGUUCACAGAAGAACUGUUACUGGAUGGACUAUCAAGCUAGGGGAAGGAGGUUGCUAAGAAAUGGAAGCCUAAUGAGAACAUGCACAAACCAAGAAAGAGAAAUGGUAAAAAUGAAGAGCAAAGCCAUAAACACCCCAUCUCUGUUUCUCUCCAUGAAUAACAGCAUGUGUGUCAUUAAGCUGGUGGUUUCAUGAACAUUUCAAGAUGCAAGAAGUGUUGCUACUGCUCGUGACUGUGCCUUCCAGAUACAUGGACUCACUAACAAUCAGUAACAACAAUACAAGCCUGUGCCCAUGUAACUGUAUUAAGGCAAUGGUGAGUGAACAAAUGAAUUCCUGCAGAAGAGCAGGUAUGAUGUUCAGCGAGCUCAGAACAUGAGCAGGGUGAGCUCCCACCUACUGCAGUGUGGGCAGAGGGUCUGUCUGCACUUCAGAGCUCUGGGUGAAUGUGGCCUAAGGCAAAAACAAGGAAUGUUUACAUAAAGAAAAAAGGAAAAGAGAAAAAGAAAAAAGUAAAAAGAGAAAAAGAAAAAAAAAAAGAAAAAGUAUGCAUAUCCAAAGAAAAUUAUUAAAAAAUAAUGAAAUGAGUGCUCUCCCUUCCCGCAGUCCGAAUAGUUUAUACUUUUUACAUCACUUUGAAUAUAAUGCAUACUAAAUGGACUAAAAUAUAACAUGUACUAAUGGACUAAUGCAAGCCCCUCUCUAAUGAGUAUGUACCAAAACAGCUGGAAAGGGUGGCGGACUUGCCCGGUGUUAGCUCCAUCGUUUGCAGUUAUGUUGAGUUACACUGGCAGUGAACUUGUCCCAUUUACAAACACUUCAGUGACACCACAGUCAGCGUUUUCUCACCACUCUUGCUUUCUUUCCUACAAUAAGCACUAAAACAAAUAACAAAAAAGUAGCGCUAGACAAAGAAGCCGCCUCUUCUCAUACAGAGCUUGGCAGGCACAAAUUGCUGGGCUUCAGUUAGCAGGUCUGUUGGCUUCUAUUUGCUCUUGUAACAUCAGCCUUUUCUUUGUUCUCUCCAAGAUUUGUGACUUUUGAGCAAGUUUUCCAGGGUCCAGACUCCUAUCUAAGCAAGCUUUCCCUCAAACUGGUUUGCUUGUUGAUGUGUUUUCCUAAAAACAAGCCUGUAGUGUGCUGUAGCAGCUUGUUUUAUACCACCAGGAAAGAUGUAUCUGUAGCUUAACUUGGUUAAACACUUUUUUUCCUCAGGAAAACAACAACAAAAACAAAUAAACAAAACCAAGACCAACCAAACAAAAUAGGACUGUUACCCUUGGUUGCUGAGACUCCUGAGGCCUUCCUAGCAAUGACUGAAUGACAGUUCACGUCUUAGUAUAGACUGACCUUCAAUUUUAUAGGCUUUAACUCUUGCUAAACACAUCAUCUUAUCUGAGACAUUUGUCAAGCACAAAUAUCAUUUCAUCUAAGGGAAGCCAUACAGCACAUGAGGGCAAAUAAAAUGUUGUUGCUUUGCAGCUGGUGAGCAAGUAUUUCAGGACAAUAAUAAGGCCAUUAUUAAAUGUCAGUAUGACUGCACUGUAUAAUUCUGGAUCACAAAUAAAAAAAAACCCCACAGAGCAGAUUCAGCAUUUUGCCCAUUGGAAGCGGUAUACAACAGCUGAAAAUGCUCUAUUUUUACAUCCCUAUCAAUAGAAGUCUGAGUAGCUGCUAACAGUUUUGCAUCCAUGGAAUUACAGCUGCAGUUAUUAAUAAAAAAAUUCACCUA